This 77-nucleotide transfer RNA is filed under the name Amycolatopsis sulphurea. Its description in RNAcentral is "tRNA-Pro". It matches the Rfam family "tRNA". Rfam says of the family: Transfer RNA (tRNA) molecules are approximately 80 nucleotides in length. Their secondary structure includes four short double-helical elements and three loops (D, anti-codon, and T loops). The record is from RNAcentral. RNAcentral also lists the same sequence under 7 other names. Lineage: Bacteria; Bacillati; Actinomycetota; Actinomycetes; Pseudonocardiales; Pseudonocardiaceae.
CGGGAUGUGGCGCAGCUUGGUAGCGCAUCCGCUUUGGGAGCGGAGGGUCGCAGGUUCAAAUCCUGUCAUCCCGACCG